Non-coding RNA from Mycena latifolia, 95 nucleotides. Lineage: Eukaryota; Fungi; Basidiomycota; Agaricomycetes; Agaricales; Mycenaceae. The record is from the annotation of a GenBank genome assembly.
GGCUCGGUAGCGCGCGGUGCGCACCUGUUUAAAUUUCUAAUUACAUUUGAUGUUGGCUCCAGCAGGCCCCGCCCGUUCAACUCGGGCCCGAGCCA